AGGCUCCUCCGACGUCUGACUCUUCAUGGGGCAGCAACAGACAUCCUGGAAGUAAGACAGAUUCCAGGUAGAAGAGAACACUUACAUGUGAGCUGGGAAAAACCUGUGUCCCGCGGAAAACAGAGAGGGAAAGAGGAUAAAAUGUGUAGUGAAUGAAAACCGUAGCAGGAAAAGGCAGAAAGCAGCACAUUGAAGUGAAGCAGUGAAGUUCAGCUAGCGCCAUCGCAGCCCCGAAGCAGGCAGCCUGAGCCGAGGCCAGCCAAGACCGCGCCGGAUCUGUGUCAGGGAUUUUUAGGUUUUUUUGUACCUGAGAUCAAACUCACAACCUUGCACUUGCCAGGAAGGUGCUGAUGCCACUGAGCUUAAUCCCCAGCCCCGAUCUGUUUUUUUUCUAAAUUUUUUAUUAUUUUGAAGGUAGUAAAAUGCAACAGGACAAGACGGAACAAAGCCAACCUAGGCCGUGCAGUGAAAUCGGUACAGAACUUCACAGCAGGUUACCGGGAUCACAGUAAUAGGUGUCACAGUAGAUCUUGUUAUGUUCACAAUAGUUGUUCUUUCAAUCAGGGAUAGAAAAAUCAAAUGAAAUACAGAACACUAUAGAACUUAUCAAAGUAGAAUAUUGAAUAGAGCAAUACCAUUAAUCAGAACAAAACAAAACAGUGAUAAAAAUAUUUGCCUUCAAAGAGAUGGUAGAAGGAUAUUUGCAGGGCUGGAGAUUUAGCUCGGCGGCAUAAGUACCUGCCUUGCAAGCAGGCAGUCGUGAGUUCGAUCCCCGGUACCGAUAAAAAUGAAAAAGACCAAAAAAAAAAAAAAAAAAAAAAAAAAAGAAGGAUAUUUGCUAUAUUGCAUAUGGUCAUCUUCCCAAGAGAUGCUCAGAUCUCUGGGUCCCAUUUGCUAAUGGUGGGGGAGGGGUGGGAUGUUUGAUUCUCAGCCCUCGUGCUCACUACCGCUUACCAGGGGGGUGAGUGGGUUGCUUGGUUUCCCAGCACCCUAAGUUCCAACAUGGUGCAGAUCUCAAGAGUUGCUGGUGGUUCUUCCCCUGGGGCGGCCACAGCCUACCCAAUCUGUUUUGAAGAGAUAAUAAAUACAUUCUUAAAAACCAGACAUUAAGAAUGGACACAGUCAAGCAAACCUGAAAUCCCAGCACUCAGGAGGCUGAGGCAGGAGGAUCUAUGCAAGUUUGAGGCUAACCUGGGCUACAUACUAAGUUCAAGGCCAUCUUGAACUGCACAGUGAGAUCCUGUCUAAAAAAAGGACAUUCACAUUGGGUUAAACAGAUCCAGUAAUAAGUUACCUAAAACAUAAACAUAAGUAAAAAUGACACAGAAAUUUUUCUUUUUGUACUGGGGAUUGAACUCACGACCUCCCACUUGCCAGGCAGGUACUUACAUCGCUGAGCUAAAUCCCUGGCCUGACACAGAAAAUCUGAAAAUAAAAAUGAGAGAAAACAUUAGAACAUUUGAACCAAAAAGAGGAGGAAAAGAUCUUAAUACCUGACGAGACAGAUCAUAAGACAAAAACAAAUCAUAAAGGACAAAGAGGAGCACAUUGCUGAUGAGCAGAACAGCAAGAAGAUAAAACCAGCCAACAAGGAGGAAAAAAAGGAGGAAAUAAAACCAUCAAAACCGUGGCUGCGGGCUGGGGAUGCAGUUCAGCGGCCCAAGUGCCUGCCUGGCAAGUUCUAGGUUAUGAGUUUGAUCCUCAAUGCCAAAAAAAUGUGGCUGAAUUCUGGGCAAGAAAUCAAACACCUCCAAUCCCAGCAGUCAGAAGACUGAGGCGGAAAGAUCAGGAGUUGAGGCCAGCCUGGGCCCUCAUACCAGAUUUAAGAGCCAGGCGUGAUGCCACACGCCUGCCAUCCCAACACUUGGGAGGUUUGAGGCCAGCCUGAAGCACACAGCGAAACCUCAUCUCAAAAAGACAAAAAAAAAAAAAAAAGGAAAUUAAAUCAAGCAUUCAUAAAAUGUAUAUACAUUGAAAGUUUUAGUAGCACACAUAAGUUAAAUGAGGUACUUUGUAACCAAAGAAUUGUUCAAUUAGCCAUUUGAUUAAAUAAUGAAAAUAUCAAUGUUUGAUCUAUAAAAAUGAUCAUUUCAUAUUAUACAAUCUAUAGCUUACAUGUUUUUGUUUUUGAAACAGGGUCUUGCUAUGCAGUUCAGGCUGGCCUUGGGCUUACUUUGUAGCCCAGGCUGGCCUGGAACUCACAAUGAUCUUUCUGCCUCAGCCUCCCGAGUGCUGGGAUUACAGGCGUGAGCCACCACACCUGGCUUUGUUUUUGUUUUUGAGGCAGGAUCUCACUAUAUAACCCAAUCUGGCCCUGAACUCACUUUGUAGCCUACGCUGGCCUCAAAUUUGUGGCAAUCCUCUUGCCUCAGCCUCCUGAGUGUUGAGAUUACCACCAUGUGCCCACCAUGCCCAAUUUAUGACUUAUUUGUUGAAGGCAUUAAAUUAACUAUAGGAUAUCAGAUAAUUAGCACAAUAUCUAAGUUGGUCUCCGUUUUUUUUUGGCCAAUAAAAGUUUUUUGUCUACUAAAAAUAGUUGUUUCAGUUGUUAGUGACUAUCAACUAAUAUCAGAAAACUGCACAGGACAUGACGUGUAGGGUCACGGUGCCUGUUGGCCUGACCACAGGACCACCCAUGUAGGCCUGCACCUCACCGCUCAGUGCUGAGGAAUUCUGGGUGCCCCACCGCCCAGGCUGGACUUGUGCCAGACUCCGUUGUGAUUUGAUGCCACCUGGUGGUAGUGGCGGACCCAUUUUUAAUACCAGGAGACAAUUCUGAGUCCAGCAGCAACAGCCCGGGAGCACGGGUGACUGGCAGUGACCCUGCGAGCUGGCCACAUCCAGGGCAGGGCAGGAGGCACCAGAGGCCCAGCCUCCCCAGUCUUCCUGGGAGCUCAGGGGCCUCUGCCCAGCUCUCACGGCCUUGGUGUCUACUCUAUGCACCACAAAAAUGGAAUUCUAACCCCAUCCCAGCCCCCAGGGGUACCUGCCCUGCCAGACGGCAAGGGCACAGGCCACACAAAGUGGAAAAAUUCAGCCCACUGAAGAUGAGUCCUACGGUGUGAAAGCCACGGAGUUUUAAAUCAGCGUUUCAUAAAAUUGCCUUUGUGAGUGAUCCCUGGCGGCUCAGCAGACUGGGAAAUUCUUGGUUACAUUUCAGGGUGCACUGGGUGGGGCACCUGAUCUGCUACUGUUGCCCCCCACAAACCCCUCGGAAAGCCCCUUCAGGGCUGCCCAGGGAAGCGGUCAGGUAGCAGGUACUAUGUUUCUGUGUCUCUGUGCCCAACCCUCUUCUGGGCAGCGCGGCCCCUUGAUUUACCCCUGGAGCGAGGUGGACUGAGGUAGCUGCAGCUUUUGGAGCAGGGUCUUGGUGGCUUUGUGUGCCGUGAAAGUGCUAAGCACCAGGGUGCUGGUGGCAGGCCAGGCUGCAGGGAGGCCUCAAUGCCACCGCCUUCCCCAGGGCUCGCGAAGGGCUAUUCUCCUCUCUAAGCACCAGCUGCCCUGCUCACAACGUGCUUCUCCUGGCUUUGUGGCUCAGAACCUUACCCAGCCCCUCCACACCCUGCUCGGCCUCGCAGGAACCUCUCCUCUGGGGCUGCCUCCUCCGUACUCCAGUUUCCGAGCUCUGAUGGAUUCCUCAGCCCUGGAGGACAGGGACAUCGCUUACCCGUUUGUUUCUUGGUUUGAGACAGGCUCAGCGCAGAGUCAGCCCACCUUGAACCCACUGUGUAGCCCAGUCUGGGCUUGAACUCACGAUCCUCCUGCUUCAGCCUCCCAAAUGCUGGAAUGAUGGGUCUGUACUGACGUGUGUGGUGUUUAUCCGUUUCUUACUGUGAUGACAUAGUCUACGUCCACGUCUUCUGACGAUAAUUAAAUUAAGGACAACGGAAGUAGACAGGAGGAUUGUUUGUCAGGAAGAGAGGAGACAGUCACAUUGUUAGGGAGGGGACCCAGAAGUGGCUGCUGCCUUGGGGACUCUGAGUCUCCAAGCCUCGUUAUGUAGCCCAGGCUGGCUUCGAACUCACAGUGAUGCUGUUUCCACCACUCAAGCGCUGAGACCACAGUCGUGCCCACCACACCCUGCUGCUCUAGGUUUAUAACCAGAGCUGGGAGGCUUCUGAGGAAACCAGAGGUGGGGACCAGAGUCGCCCAGCAUCACCCCAGCAGCAGAGUCUCGGCAGCACACACAGGGCCCACACACAUGCCCAGCUCCAGGGGCUCACUUCGUCUGCCAGGACCCUGGACCCAGGAAUGCAGGAGCCCUCUCGGGGCACUAGGUCUCUAAAAGGCUUGCGAGCACCAGUGUAGAUGACGGACAACCUAGAGGACUAGGAAAUGGGCACGAGAGGAGUCAAGGCACAUAGCAAGCACCUGUACCUCUGCGGGUGCCUCUUAGCCUCUGUCCUAUGCAAGUGGCCCAUUGAAAGGACAAAAUAUUUAUUCCAAGGAUGUGGAGAAAAAAAAAGAAAGAAAGGACAAAAUAGCCAGGUGUGGUGGUGCACGCCUGUAAUCCCAGCACUCAGGGGCUGAGGCAGGAGGAUUGUUGUGAGUUCGAGACCAGCCUGGGCUACAAGGUGAGCCCAAGGCCAGCCUGACUGCAUAGUGAGACCCUGUCUCAAAAAGACAAAAAUAAAUAAAUACAUAAAAGAAUAAAGUGAGCUUUCCAGACAGAUCAGAGCAGAAGUUGUCAGAGGUUUACUAUCACCUUGCUGGUCACCUCCCUUGUUAUAACCCUGGACUUCAUUGCUUUCUGGUUCUUGGCAACCCGUGCUUCUGACCAAAAACCUGGACUCUAACUCCAGAAUUCUCCAGAAGAGAAUUCAGCAUGUAAGCCAGGCGUGGUGGUUCAUGCCUGUAAUCACAUCACUCAGGAGGCUGAGGCAGGAGGAUCAUUGCGAGUUCGAGACUAACCUGGGCUACAAAGUGAGCUCAAGGCCAGCCUGAACUACAUAGCUCGAGACCCUGUCAAAAAAGACAAAAAAAAAAAAAAAAAAAAAUAGAGAAUUCGGCAUGUACUAGAUGUUUGAGACUUGGAGAAUCACAACACAAAACUGGUCUAAACUAAACCAAAACUUUCGAGUUUCUCCCGUUUCUCCUGAUGCUGUUAGUUGCUUUUUAAAAAUGUUUUUGAUUUUACUGGAGAAGGGAGACUAAUGAACUUAAAAUGUCUCAUGUAAACCACUGAGACAGAAAGGAAGCAGGUGAGUGUGGAUUAUCGGAUUCCUCCGGCCUGAACCCGACGGGUUCCAAAGGUUAGUUGCCCGCCUUGCUCUCUGCUGAUUACACAGGUCAGGAGGGUAAUCGAGUCAUUUAUUUGAACCAUUUUCUCCCAGUGUGUUUCUAACAUAUUUGCCCCAAUCCUGGCCACUAAGUCAGUGCUGCACUGAGACCAGCUUCUGUCUCCCAUCACCAAAGAAAUGGUGAACAAAGGUAAUUUCCAUGCCCUUCUGCCCCCAAAUCUGUCACGUUCCGGAGCACAGCGCUUUAAACCUCAGUGAAAACCUACGCGCCGGAGGGCUCAGUAAUAACCAGGACGUCUGUUUAUCAUUAACUCAGUGAAUAAACCCUCCAAGGUACUAAACGCCUUUUGGAGGAGCACCUUAUUCUGUGUCUUUUCAAGAGCUUGUCACCAGAGGCAGUGUUGCCUAGUGGUGAGCUUAGCAGACAGCUUCCAGGUUCUUCUUCGGGACACUCAGAGAAUUACAACCCAACUGAUAGCUACAUGGAUGGAGGGUCACGGCAAGUGGUGCUUAGGGCAAACCUGCGCCAGGAAAAGACAGGGCAUGAACGGAAAACAGGGCCAGGGACAGGAGAGCAAGAGCAUCGUGCACAGGUGACUGGCACAGGUGACUGCACACAGCGCUGGACCCGGCCACAGCCGGCUUCUGGAAUUUACUGUGAUGCACUUGAAGUUGAACGCUUAAGAAGGGAAGAGAUUUCUGGAGGCUGGAAGCCCAAGAUCAUGCAGCCCCGUUUGUAACUCCGGCAUUCAGGAGGCUGAAGCAGGAGAAUCACCAUGAAUUCAAGACUACAUAGGACUACACAGGAAAACAGUCCCUCAAGAACUAACUCAGUUCCCACAAAACUCCCUUAAUCCUCCCUGAGGGUGCCUCUCUCCAGUGACCAGAGAGACUGUUCUCCUUCUAGGCUCCAACUCUUGACGUCAUCACAGUGGGGACGGACUUGCAAUGCGUGAACCUUUGGGGACAAACUUAAGCAACAUCUGAACACAGCAGGAAUAAACUCUGGAUGCCGCCAUCCCGCCUGCUCUGAGUCCAAGGGUUGGCUGCCACUCAUCAAAGUACUCGCGCUGCUGUUUUCCAGACAGUAGAGGAAAGUUCCUAUUGUUUGUUUUUGUUUUGUUUUGUUUUUUUAUAUGUACCGGGGAUCGAACUCGAGAUGGCCUGCUUGCGAGGCAGGUGUUUAUGCCGCUGAGCUAAAUCCCCAGCUCCUUGUUUGUUGUUUUUUUGGACAGGAUCUCACUUCGUGGUUCAGCCUGGCCUCAAACUCUCGAUGGAGCCCAUGCUGACCUCCAAAUUCAAUGUAAUCUUCCUGCUUCAGCCUCUGAGUGCUGGGAUUAUAGAUGUGCGCCACCAGGGCCAGCAGGAAUGCUUCUCUUUACCUAAGAUUUUUUCCACCCAUGUAGAAACAAAAGACAGACUGACAGGACUAGGGAUGUGGCUCAGUGGUAGGACACUGGCCUCACACGUCUGCAGCCCUGGGUUUGAACCCCAGCACUACAAGGAACAAAUGAAAGAAGACGGACUGGCCUGAUAGCUCGAGUUGCAGCGUGAGGGCUGGCCUGGGGGCUCUCUGCAGAGAGGAUGGUCCGGCGUCUGUCCUUCUCCCUGUCCCCUGCCUGUGGCAGUGGGGCGCAGGGCGCUGAGGACAGACACCUCCGGGGAGAGCCAGGCUGCCAGGGCCCUGCAAGGUGCGGUCCCCAGAAGUCCCUUACCUUGAGCCUCCGAAAGGAUACCAUGAAGUGGAAAGUAAGUUACAAACGGGCCGAUUAGCCUGCGUGCUUUUACUGCUAAACCCGAAGCCUUUGGGGUUUGCACGUGUGCAUGAGCAGGAAAAACUGUCCAGCCCUAACUGCCAUGCGGGUGGGCUGGUUAUUUGACCAGUUCCCUGGCCUCCUGUGUAACCAAUAAAAGUAACGGCUCUCCUUUA
Molecule: long non-coding RNA, 7170 nt
Organism: Cavia porcellus (domestic guinea pig)
Lineage: Eukaryota; Metazoa; Chordata; Mammalia; Rodentia; Caviidae
Exons: 2
Source: RefSeq, a predicted model, not a curated record